UACGUAGGGGGCAAGCGUUGUCCGGAAUCAUUGGGCGUAAAGCGCGUGUAGGCGGUCCGGUAAGUCCGCUGUGAAAGUCCAGGGCUCAACCCUGGGAUGCCGGUCGAUACUGCCGGACUAGAGUUCGGAAGAGGCGAGUGGAAUUCCCGGUGUAGCGGUGAAAUGCGCAGAUAUCGGGAGGAACACCAAUGGCGAAGGCAGCUCGCUGGGACGUUACUGACGCUGAGACGCGAAAGCGUGGGGAGCAAACAGG
RNAcentral lists this ribosomal RNA (253 nucleotides) under uncultured bacterium. Its description in RNAcentral is "partial 16S ribosomal RNA". It matches the Rfam family "Bacterial small subunit ribosomal RNA", at positions 524 to 776 of the family's 1533-position model. The record is from RNAcentral.